RNAcentral lists this ribosomal RNA (95 nucleotides) under Acacia spirorbis subsp. spirorbis. RNAcentral describes it as "partial 26S ribosomal RNA". The stretch from base 17 to 95 matches the Rfam family "Eukaryotic large subunit ribosomal RNA", at positions 1 to 80 of the family's 3401-position model. The record is from RNAcentral. Lineage: Eukaryota; Viridiplantae; Streptophyta; Magnoliopsida; Fabales; Fabaceae.
GCUGCCCGCCCGUACGCGACCCCAGGUCAGGCGGGGCUACCCGCUGAGUUUAAGCAUAUCAAUAAGCGGAGAAAAGAAACUAACGAGGAUUCCCC